Molecule: ribosomal RNA, 468 nt
Filed under: uncultured bacterium
Lineage: Bacteria
Description: partial 16S ribosomal RNA
Rfam family: Bacterial small subunit ribosomal RNA
Source: RNAcentral
GACGAACGCUGGCGGCGUGCUUAACACAUGCCAGUCGAACGGAAAGGCCCUGCUUUUGUGGGGUGCUCGAGUGGCAAACGGGUGAGUAACACGUGAGUAACCUGCCCUUGACUUUGGGAUAACUUCAGGAAACUGGGGCUAAUACCGGAUAGGAGCUCCUGCUGCAUGGUGGGGGUUGGAAAGUUUCGGCGGUUGGGGAUGGACUCGCGGCUUAUCAGCUUGUUGGUGGGGUAGUGGCUUACCAAGGCUUUGACGGGUAGCCGGCCUGAGAGGGUGACCGGCCACAUUGGGACUGAGAUACGGCCCAGACUCCUACGGGAGGCAGCAGUGGGGAAUAUUGCACAAUGGGCGGAAGCCUGAUGCAGCAACGCCGCGUGCGGGAUGACGGCCUUCGGGUUGUAAACCGCUUUCGCCUGUGACGAAGCGUGAGUGACGGUAAUGGGUAAAGAAGCACCGGCUAACUACGUG